This 818-nucleotide ribosomal RNA is filed under the name Pseudidiomarina aestuarii. RNAcentral describes it as "bacterial SSU rRNA". It matches the Rfam family "Bacterial small subunit ribosomal RNA", at positions 1 to 808 of the family's 1533-position model. The record is from RNAcentral. Lineage: Bacteria; Pseudomonadati; Pseudomonadota; Gammaproteobacteria; Alteromonadales; Idiomarinaceae.
AAAUUGAAGAGUUUGAUCAUGGCUCAGAUUGAACGCUGGCGGCAGGCCUAACACAUGCAAGUCGAGCGGUAACAGGAAGAAGCUUGCUUCUUUGCUGACGAGCGGCGGACGGGUGAGUAAUGCUUGGGAACUUGCCUUUGGGUGGGGGAUAACCAUGGGAAACUGUGGCUAAUACCGCAUAACGUCUACGGACCAAAGUGGGGGAUCUUCGGACCUCACGCCCAGAGAUAGGCCCAAGUGAGAUUAGCUAGUUGGUGGGGUAAAGGCUCACCAAGGCGACGAUCUCUAGCUGUUCUGAGAGGAUGAUCAGCCACACUGGGACUGAGACACGGCCCAGACUCCUACGGGAGGCAGCAGUGGGGAAUAUUGCACAAUGGGGGAAACCCUGAUGCAGCCAUGCCGCGUGUGUGAAGAAGGCCUUCGGGUUGUAAAGCACUUUCAGUGGUGAGGAAGGUUGGUAGUUUAAUACGCUACCAAAUUGACGUUAGCCACAGAAGAAGCACCGGCUAACUCCGUGCCAGCAGCCGCGGUAAUACGGAGGGUGCGAGCGUUAAUCGGAAUUACUGGGCGUAAAGCGUACGUAGGCGGCUUAUUAAGCAAGAUGUGAAAGCCCCGGGCUCAACCUGGGAAUUGCAUUUUGAACUGGUAGGCUCGAGUUUUGAAGAGGGUGGUAGAAUUUCCAGUGUAGCGGUGAAAUGCGUAGAUAUUGGAAGGAAUACCAGUGGCGAAGGCGGCCACCUGGUCAAAAACUGACGCUGAGGUACGAAAGCGUGGGGAGCAAACAGGAUUAGAUACCCUGGUAGUCCACGCCGUAAACG